Molecule: ribosomal RNA, 253 nt
Filed under: uncultured bacterium
Lineage: Bacteria
Description: partial 16S ribosomal RNA
Rfam family: Bacterial small subunit ribosomal RNA
Source: RNAcentral
UACAGAGACUGCAAGCGUUAUUCGGAUUCACUGGGCGUAAAGGGUGCGCAGGCGGCCAAGUGUGUGAGGCGUGAAAGCCCGGGGCUUAACUCCGGAAUUGCACCUCAAACUACGUGGCUAGAGCAUUGGAGAGGGUAGCAGAAUUCACGGUGUAGCAGUGAAAUGCGUAGAUAUCGUGAGGAAUACCAGAGGCGAAGGCGGCUACCUGGACAAUUGCUGACGCUCAGGCACGAAAGCGUGGGGAGCAAAAGGG